Molecule: ribosomal RNA, 482 nt
Filed under: uncultured bacterium
Lineage: Bacteria
Description: partial 16S ribosomal RNA
Rfam family: Bacterial small subunit ribosomal RNA
Source: RNAcentral
AUUGAACGCUGGCGGCAUGCCUUACACAUGCCAGUCGAACGGUAACGGGCCUUCGGGUGCCGACGAGUGGCGAACGGGUGAGUAAUACAUCGGAACGUGCCCGAUCGUGGGGGAUAACGAGGCGAAAGCUUUGCUAAUACCGCAUACGAUCUACGGAUGAAAGCAGGGGACCGCAAGGCCUUGCGCGGACGGAGCGGCCGAUGGCAGAUUAGGUAGUUGGUGGGAUAAAAGCUUACCAAGCCGACGAUCUGUAGCUGGUCUGAGAGGAUGAUCAGCCACACUGGGACUGAGACACGGCCCAGACUCCUAAGGGAGGCAGCAGUGGGGAAUUUUGGACAAUGGGCGCAAGCCUGAUCCAGCCAUGCCGCGUGCAGGAUGAAGGCCUUCGGGUUGUAAACUGCUUUUGUACGGAACGAAAAGCCUUCUUUUAAUACAGGAGGGUCAUGACGGUACCGUAAGAAUAAGCACCGGCUAACUACGUG